Molecule: microRNA precursor, 99 nt
Filed under: Marmota monax (woodchuck)
Lineage: Eukaryota; Metazoa; Chordata; Mammalia; Rodentia; Sciuridae
Source: RNAcentral
AGUGGGAUAGCUGGGUCAAAUGGUGGUUCCAUUACAAGUUUUCUAAGCAAUAUACUGCUUUGCAUAUUGGCUGCACCAAUUUGCAGUCCCACCAGCAAU